UGAAUGUUGAAUUCUGGGAAUCAGAGUGGCGCGAAAGGGACACGAGGAGGACAAUGCCAGGAGCUCGGACCGACUGCAGUGCAGAAUCCAGGGACAUCAGCAUCAUUAUCUGAAAUGAUGCGAUUGAAACAAGAAGAGCCCGCAUACUGAAAGCACUAAUUGUUUACCUCAACGAAGACCCUGGAAACCUCAUAAGGGAGUACCUUGAUGUUGACGACGACCAGACUAGAGAGCAGGCGAUCCUGGGGAUCUUCGCCAUAAAGAGGGAAGGUGCAGAACCCACAGAUGACCUGGAAGAUGAUGGAAUAGUCAUUGAAGGAGUGGAAGUGCUUCACAGCCUUGGUAACAUUGCAGAUGCACUCGCCAUUUUAUUUGGUCUCAUGUACUCAUUGGACUUGAGCUACCCAACAAACCUAAAAUACACAUUUGAGGUUCUACUGAAACUUUUCAUGGAACUGGAUGGAACCCACCUCUCAGCAAAGGCUCAAGUGCUAAAAAACAAACUCUUUGAAGGAACAAUUUAGACAUGACAUUACAUCUGCUGUUUAGAUACAUAUUCAUGUUCAAAGUAAAAGAGAAAUGGCCGUCAAACUUUGAAAAA
Long non-coding RNA from Sebastes umbrosus (honeycomb rockfish), 601 nucleotides. RefSeq lists it as uncharacterized. The transcript is spliced from 3 exons. The record is from RefSeq and is a predicted model, not a curated record. Lineage: Eukaryota; Metazoa; Chordata; Actinopteri; Perciformes; Sebastidae.